Molecule: ribosomal RNA, 1162 nt
Filed under: Escherichia coli
Lineage: Bacteria; Pseudomonadati; Pseudomonadota; Gammaproteobacteria; Enterobacterales; Enterobacteriaceae
Description: partial 23S ribosomal RNA
Rfam family: Bacterial large subunit ribosomal RNA
Source: RNAcentral
ACAAAAAUGCACAUACUGUGAGCUCGAUGAGUAGGGCGGGACACGUGGUAUCCUGUCUGAAUAUGGGGGGACCAUCCUCCAAGGCUAAAUACUCCUGACUGACCGAUAGUGAACCAGUACCGUGAGGGAAAGGCGAAAAGAACCCCGGCGAGGGGAGUGAAAAAGAACCUGAAACCGUGUACGUACAAGCAGUGGGAGCACGCUUAGGCGUGUGACUGCGUACCUUUUGUAUAAUGGGUCAGCGACUUAUAUUCUGUAGCAAGGUUAACCGAAUAGGGGAGCCGAAGGGAAACCGAGUCUUAACUGGGCGUUAAGUUGCAGGGUAUAGACCCGAAACCCGGUGAUCUAGCCAUGGGCAGGUUGAAGGUUGGGUAACACUAACUGGAGGACCGAACCGACUAAUGUUGAAAAAUUAGCGGAUGACUUGUGGCUGGGGGUGAAAGGCCAAUCAAACCGGGAGAUAGCUGGUUCUCCCCGAAAGCUAUUUAGGUAGCGCCUCGUGAAUUCAUCUCCGGGGGUAGAGCACUGUUUCGGCAAGGGGGUCAUCCCGACUUACCAACCCGAUGCAAACUGCGAAUACCGGAGAAUGUUAUCACGGGAGACACACGGCGGGUGCUAACGUCCGUCGUGAAGAGGGAAACAACCCAGACCGCCAGCUAAGGUCCCAAAGUCAUGGUUAAGUGGGAAACGAUGUGGGAAGGCCCAGACAGCCAGGAUGUUGGCUUAGAAGCAGCCAUCAUUUAAAGAAAGCGUAAUAGCUCACUGGUCGAGUCGGCCUGCGCGGAAGAUGUAACGGGGCUAAACCAUGCACCGAAGCUGCGGCAGCGACGCUUAUGCGUUGUUGGGUAGGGGAGCGUUCUGUAAGCCUGCGAAGGUGUGCUGUGAGGCAUGCUGGAGGUAUCAGAAGUGCGAAUGCUGACAUAAGUAACGAUAAAGCGGGUGAAAAGCCCGCUCGCCGGAAGACCAAGGGUUCCUGUCCAACGUUAAUCGGGGCAGGGUGAGUCGACCCCUAAGGCGAGGCCGAAAGGCGUAGUCGAUGGGAAACAGGUUAAUAUUCCUGUACUUGGUGUUACUGCGAAGGGGGGACGGAGAAGGCUAUGUUGGCCGGGCGACGGUUGUCCCGGUUUAAGCGUGUAGGCUGGUUUUCCAGGCAAAUCCGGAA